CGUCACUACAGUCCCUGGUUUGGAUCCAGGCUGUAUCACAUCCGGCCGUGAUUGGGAGUCCCAUAGCUCCGCGCACAAUUGGCUCAGCGUUGUCCGGGUUUUAAUUAAAAGGUUAGUUAACGUCCUGCAAAGAUGACUGCAAGAGCACAGCGCAGAAUGCUCAAUGAGGUAAAGAAGAAUCCUAGUGUCAGCUGAACACUUACAUAAAUCUCUGGAACAUGCUAACAUCUCUGUUGACGAGUCUACGAUAUGUAAAACACUAAAACAAGAAUGGUGUUCAGGGAAGAAGCCACCGCUGUCCAAAAAAAAACUAAUUUUGAAGUUCGCAAAAGUGCACCUGGAUGUUCCACAGCGCUACUGUCAAAAUAUUCUGUGGACAAAUAAAACUCAAAUGAAGUUGUUUUGAAGGAACACACAACACUAUGUGUGGAGAGAAAAAAAGGCACAGCACACCAAUUCUUCCCAAAGAUUAUCAAGACAUUUUGCAGGAGAAUGUUGGGCUAUCUGUCCGCCUAUUGAAGCUCUACAGAUGUUGGGUGAUGCAACAGGAAACGCAGAAGUAAAUCAACAACAGAAUGGCUUCAACAGAAGACAAUACGCCUUCUGGAGUGACCCAGUCCUGACCUCAACCCGAUUGAGAUGCUGUGUCCUGACCUCAACCCGAUUGAGAUGCUGUGGGACGACCUCAAGAGAGCCGUUCACACCAGACAUCCUAAGAAUUUGAACUGAACUGAAACAGUUUUGUAAAGAGGACAUUCCUCCUGACUGUUGCGCCGGUCUGAUCUGCAACUACAGAAAACAUUUGGUUGAUGUUGUUGCUGCCAAAGGAGGGUCAACCAGUUAUUAAAUCCAAGGGUUCACCUACUUUUCCCACCCUGCACUGUGAAUGUUUACACGCUGUGUUACACAGAGACAUGAAAACGUAUCGUUUUAAGUGUGUUAUUAGUUUAAGUAGACUAUGUUUGUGAUAGGUGAGAAUUGUCUUUUAAUUGAAUGAUUAGAAUAUUCCCUCCUGAAACAUAUAAUUGUAUGGAAUUGAUUAGAAUGUUUGAAAUCAUAAUCAAUAAAUGUGUAGUCCUAGUCAGAAUUAGGGUAAAACAAUAUGUCUUUAUGGUAUUUUAAACACAGACUGUCUGAGCUUGGUGCCGACCUGACUAGAGAUUUGGGAGAGAAUGGGGAGUACGUCUCGAGGACAAGGUCACUAUCUCUGUCGGCUGGGAAGUGAGACAGACAGUGUGUGUAGCAGGACAAGGUCACUAUCUCCGUCGGCUGGGAAGUGAGACAGACAGUGUGUGUAGCAGGACAAGGUCACUAUCUCCGUCGGCUAGGUAGUGAGACAGACAGUGUAGCAGGACAAGGUCACUAUCUCUGUCGGCUGGGAAGUGAGACAGACAGACAGUGUAGCAGGACAAGGUCACUAUCUCUGUCGGCUGGGAAGUGAGACAGACAGUGUGUGUAGCAGGACAAGGUCACUAUCUCCGUCGGCUAGGUAGUGAGACAGACAGUGUAGCAGGACAAGGUCACUAUCUCUGUCGGCUGGGUAGUGAGACAGACAGUGUUGCAGGACAUGUGUGUGAGUAUGUUUGUGUGUGUGUGUGUGUGUAUGUUUGUAUGUGUGUGCGUAUGUGUGUGCGUAUGUGUGUGCGUAUGUGUGUGUGUGUAUGUGUGUGUGUAUGUUUGUGCGUAUGGUUGUGUGUAUGUUUGUGCUUAUGGUUGUGCGUAUGUUUGUGUGUAUGUGUGUGUGUAUGGUUGUGUGUAUGUGUGUGUGUGUGUGUGUGUGUGUGUGUGUGUGUGUGUGUGUGUGUGUGUAUGUGUUGUGUGUGUGUGUGUGUAUUGUUGUGUGUGUGUGUGUAUGGUUGUGUGUGUGUGUGUGUGUGUGUAUGUGUGUGUGUGUAUGGUUGUGUGUGUGUGUGUGUGUGAGAAGUCAGUAUAAAUUAAUUGUUUUGUAUUCUUGACUCCAGAACGUUCCGUGAAUAAACCUUUUUGACCA
Oncorhynchus tshawytscha (Chinook salmon) is the source of this 1990-nucleotide long non-coding RNA. Lineage: Eukaryota; Metazoa; Chordata; Actinopteri; Salmoniformes; Salmonidae. The record is from Ensembl.